UAAAGUUACCACGAGGAUCGUGGAAGGAUUCUCUACAAUUUCUACAGAUCGGAAUCUCGUUUCGAAGAUUUUCGGGUUUUGGCAUAAAAUUGAGGUUUUGGAACUCGAUUCGCUGUGUAGGGGCCUUGGAGUUCGGGAUUGGCUAUUCGGGGAAAAGGUCCUUCAAGUAACCGGAACUAGCAUCCUGGUGUAGGGAGCGUAGUGGCCGAUGUAUUGCGUUUAGCGCUUGGGUAAGUAUUAAGACUGUAUUUUUGUUGGGUUGCCAUUUUGAGUUAUAUUUGAGCACCCGGUUGUACGUUUUGAUAGAGUUGUAUUUGGCUCGUGUAUAGACUCUAGUAUGGUACUGCAUAUGUAUGUAUGGUUU
Molecule: long non-coding RNA, 364 nt
Organism: Malania oleifera
Lineage: Eukaryota; Viridiplantae; Streptophyta; Magnoliopsida; Santalales; Ximeniaceae
Exons: 3
Source: RefSeq, a predicted model, not a curated record